RNAcentral lists this long non-coding RNA (746 nucleotides) under Fukomys damarensis (Damara mole-rat). RNAcentral's name for it is "lncRNA (ENSFDAG00000025918.1)". Lineage: Eukaryota; Metazoa; Chordata; Mammalia; Rodentia; Bathyergidae. The record is from RNAcentral.
GUCUCUGCCCUCAGAGAUCAAGCGUGGGGAAGCAGACCUAAAAUGUGCAGGAAGCUCACCAGUCACAGCUGGUAUCAGCCUCUGUUGAAGCCUCUUACAACCUGCUCAACUUUGGAAAUAGGGACAGAUUCCACAACGGAGACAAGAAAGCAGGGACCAGACUAUUAUGUAUUACAUGUCAACUUGGGAGAGAGUCUGGAGUCCUUCCUGUACCAGCCCCACCUCGGCUGCCCCACAGCGAGCCAGACUACCAUAGCCUCUUCACACCCAUCACGUGACACCUGCCACUCCAUCUCGUCACCAGUCAGCAGCUUCUUGAGGGACAACGGCCACCUUUUUUUUCCUCCUCCACUGGGCCUCAGUCUUUAUACUUCCCGGACCUGUUCAACACACCCUCAGGCCUUUCCUCUCCAGGUCAGGUCUGGAUAUGAGGACCCACUCAUCCUUAGACGAAGUCCUCUCUGUCAAAAAGAUAAAUGGGAAACACAGGCUACCUUGGAUAAAACUCCAAUGAAACUUUGUCACGUUUUAAAGCAUUAUUUUUAUAUUAUUGAAUAUACUAGUAAUAAAUUAUUCCUGCCUGAAGAAAAACUCCUGAGCCCAGUGUAGUACAAACACUGACCCUGAGCAGGGACACAGUGGCCUCCAGCCCUGCCACAUCCUCCUGUGCUAGGACAGUAGGACAUCAUUCCCCCAUAGUAUGUGUUCUGAAGCCUUCAGUCCCGACCUUCUGCUCUCCUUGCCCC